AUUGAUAAUAGUAUGCUUUCGCAUAAAAUUCUGAUGAUGAUAUACAAGUAUUGUUUCAAAUCCCCAAACACUAGAGAGAUAAUGAGUUAAUCCCUAGUUAGCCACUUCGAGCCUAGAAGUAGGUGUUUCUUUCAGAUCUAAAAAACCCUUACGCUUAACCCGGGGCAAAGUAAUGUCUAGUUGAUCUCACUCUGCAUUCAAAUUACAAGAGAAUACAUCCCAUGCGGGGAUUAA
RNAcentral lists this long non-coding RNA (234 nucleotides) under Lathyrus oleraceus (garden pea). RNAcentral describes it as "Pisum sativum (pea) long non-coding RNA (PSAT_LNC007610)". Lineage: Eukaryota; Viridiplantae; Streptophyta; Magnoliopsida; Fabales; Fabaceae. The record is from RNAcentral.